RNAcentral lists this ribosomal RNA (493 nucleotides) under uncultured bacterium. RNAcentral describes it as "partial 16S ribosomal RNA". It matches the Rfam family "Bacterial small subunit ribosomal RNA", at positions 29 to 508 of the family's 1533-position model. The record is from RNAcentral.
AGUGAACGCUGGCGGUAGGCCUAACACAUGCAAGUCGAACGGCAGCACAGUAAGAGCUUGCUCUUACGGGUGGCGAGUGGCGGACGGGUGAGGAAUACAUCGGAAUCUACUUUUUCGUGGGGGAUAACGUAGGGAAACUUACGCUAAUACCGCAUACGACCUACGGGUGAAAGCAGGGGAUCUUCGGACCUUGCGCGAUUGAAUGAGCCGAUGUCGGAUUAGCUAGUUGGCGGGGUAAAGGCCCACCAAGGCGACGAUCCGUAGCUGGUCUGAGAGGAUGAUCAGCCACACUGGAACUGAGACACGGUCCAGACUCCUACGGGAGGCAGCAGUGGGGAAUAUUGGACAAUGGGCGCAAGCCUGAUCCAGCCAUACCGCGGGGGGGAAGAAGGCCGUCGGGUUGUAAAGCCCUUUUGUUGGGAAAGAAAAGCAGCAGGUUAAUACCCCGCUGUUCUGACGGUACCCAAAGAAUAAGCACCGGCUAACUUCGUGC